AGCAGUGGGGAAUUUUGGACAAUGGGCGCAAGCCUGAUCCAGCAAUGCCGCGUGAGUGAAGAAGGCCUUCGGGUUGUAAAGCUCUUUUGUCAGGGAAGAAACGGUGAAGGCUAAUAUCCUUUGCUAAUGACGGUACCUGAAGAAUAAGCACCGGCUAACUACGUGCCAGCAGCCGCGGUAAUACGUAGGGUGCAAGCGUUAAUCGGAAUUACUGGGCGUAAAGCGUGCGCAGGCGGUUUUGUAAGUUUGUCGUGAAAGCCCCGGGCUCAACCUGGGAAUUGCGAUGAAGACUGCAAGGCUUGAAUCUGGCAGAGGGGGGUAGAAUUCCACGUGUAGCAGUGAAAUGCGUAGAGAUGUGGGAGGAACACCGAUGGCGAAGGCAGCCCCCUGGGUCAAGAUUGACGCUCAUG
RNAcentral lists this ribosomal RNA (410 nucleotides) under uncultured bacterium. Its description in RNAcentral is "bacterial SSU rRNA". It matches the Rfam family "Bacterial small subunit ribosomal RNA", at positions 350 to 751 of the family's 1533-position model. The record is from RNAcentral.